UACGGAGGGUGCGAGCGUUAUCCGGAUUUAUUGGGUUUAAAGGGUGCGUAGGCUGGUCCUUAAGUCAGUGGUGAAAGUUUGCGGCUCAACCGUAAAAUUGCCAUUGAAACUGGGGACCUUGGGUGGCGUUGCAGCCGGCGGAACGUGUCGUGUAGCGGUGAAAUGCAUAGAUACGACACAGAACCCCGAUUGCGUAGGCAGCUGGCUAAGCGCCUACCGACGCUGAUGCACGAAAGCGCGGGUAGCGAACAGG
RNAcentral lists this ribosomal RNA (253 nucleotides) under uncultured bacterium. Its description in RNAcentral is "partial 16S ribosomal RNA". It matches the Rfam family "Bacterial small subunit ribosomal RNA", at positions 524 to 776 of the family's 1533-position model. The record is from RNAcentral.